This 1089-nucleotide long non-coding RNA is filed under the name Struthio camelus australis. RNAcentral describes it as "lncRNA (ENSSCUG00000001870.1)". The record is from RNAcentral. Lineage: Eukaryota; Metazoa; Chordata; Aves; Struthioniformes; Struthionidae.
UGCUCUCUUCUUCGCUUUUGAGGUUGCCAAGUUUUGCUUUGGGCUCCUGGAAGAGAUAAAUCUUCUCGUUCAGCAUCUUGCAACGAGCCCUUCCCGUCGCCGCAAGCACGCGGAGGAAGAGGCAGCAGGGAAACUCUUCCGCUGCCCGGUCGUCCUCCGCAGGGGCCCCGUUUUAAAAUCUCUGCUCGGAGGCGAGAUGCGCAACGUGCAAGGGCUGCGCGAAGGGGCUGGCGUCCCGCAGUUCCCCACUCUGGGAGACUUUCCUCCUCCCGACAAGUUUUGCGGCAGGACAGCAACACGCAGCAAGUUCCAGGAGCUGGAAGCCGGAGAGGAACAAAGACGACCGGAAAUCUCAAAAGGGACAAAAACUCGGCUUGCGGCUGGGUCGAAGGUGCUGGAGGAAGGGGAGCGAGGUGCAGAGGGAGCAAAAUCCUUGCCAGGAAAGCAACCCCGGAGGGUCAAGCUCGUACCAGCGGCUCCUGGCCGCUUGCAGCAGUUUGAUGUCGAAGGUCAAAAAACCAGAGAGGAGCAUCCCAUGCUGCCCAAAAUCCCCAAGACGGUCACGUUUGUGCCCAGCCGGCGGCCAGGACGCUCGCUGGCAGGAAGAGAGAUUUGCCCCAUCCAGGGCAGGAGAGCGAAGACAAACGCACGGUUGGGCUUAAACCCGGUUUGCGCUCACUCAGAGUUUCCUCGGGAGGAAACACCGCCCGGCUCCCGGAGGCGUACAGCGGGGACACCAGGUUACAUCCUACCCACCACCACCUUGGAGCUCCGAACACAAAUAACCGCUCACCAACACCACCGACAGCCCCGGGGGAAAACAAAACAAAAAAAAAAACCCCAAGAAAACCCCCCAAAACCCACAGAUUUGCCUUAUUGCUUUAUUUAUCAGCCCGGCGGGCAAUUCCCGCGCACGAAGUGGGGUGGCCGCUGCGCCCUGGCCCAGCUCCAAAACCGGAUUCGUCACGGCCGGGCAGCUCGUGGCAGGACGGAGAGAGACCGCGCGGCGGCCAGAGACGUUUAGCGGGAAGCUACGACGAAGGCGGGACGCGGGCGCCGCGAUUAACGUUAUAGCUGAGGAAGAUCUCA